AGCCCCAUAGUGUAGCGGCCAAUCAUCCGGGAUUUUGGGUCCCGGGACUCCGGUUCAAAUCCGGAUGGGGCUA
Molecule: transfer RNA, 73 nt
Filed under: Nanobdellota archaeon
Lineage: Archaea; Nanobdellati; Nanobdellota
Description: tRNA-Gln
Rfam family: tRNA
About the family: Transfer RNA (tRNA) molecules are approximately 80 nucleotides in length. Their secondary structure includes four short double-helical elements and three loops (D, anti-codon, and T loops). Further hydrogen bonds mediate the characteristic L-shaped molecular structure. tRNAs have two regions of fundamental functional importance: the anti-codon, which is responsible for specific mRNA codon recognition, and the 3' end, to which the tRNAs corresponding amino acid is attached (by aminoacyl-tRNA synthetases). tRNAs cope with the degeneracy of the genetic code in two manners: having more than one tRNA (with a specific anti-codon) for a particular amino acid; and 'wobble' base-pairing, i.e. permitting non-standard base-pairing at the 3rd anti-codon position.
Source: RNAcentral